CCAAGUCGCGUAUCUCUCUGCCUCUUCCCCAUUUCUCUUCGUCUUCUUCCUUGAAACCUCAGCGUUUCAGUUCUGAUCAUCCCCUUCUUCACUUUCAGAUUCUUCCCAAUCAAUUUUGCAAUCAAUUUUUUUCUUAAUAGUUUUGUUUCAUCUUCCCCCUUUCCUCCUUCUUUAUAUAAUGUUUUUUUUCCCGAUUACAAAUCAAAACCCUAUAUUUACUCGAAACUCGAUCGAUGGCGAUGAAACUACAUGGGAAGUCGAUUGUCUCCUCCUAUUACGACGACAAAGUCGUGUUCUUCAAAGAUCUCUCCCUGGGUCACCACGAAGCUCAGUUGCGGUUUUGGCUCAUCCAUUUCUGGGAGGCUUGGAACCCAGUUAAGAAGACGCUCAUCGGCAUGGAGAUGCUACUCAUCGACGAAAAGGUAGAAGACGCUCAUCGGCAUGGAGAUGCUACUCAUCGACGAAAAGGGAUUAGUAAUAUGCUAGUUACUAAGAUGCCGAAAGUGAAUUCUUAAUCAUUCUCUUUUACAGUUACCGUCUAUUUCAAAAGCUAUGGCGGAAGUGACAGAAACCGUAGAUCAGAUGCGGAGGAAUAGGUGGUUGCCAGGGAGAAGCGACUACUAUAUGUGUGGUGAGCCAGGUUACAUGGUCAGAGACUGUUUGGAGGACACGGAGGCGGUGGUGGCUACGGUUGAUGGACAGGAGGAGGUGGUGGCCACGAGGUGGAGUCAGGUACGAAGGUGGUCAGUAUCAACAAAAAUUUGAAGGGUCCUCUAUACGAUAAGCCCUUGAAGCUACAAUGGUUCUUGCUGAUGAUUAUCAAUGCAAUGGCACUGCUUUUUAUCUUUGGGUAAUUAGCUUUCUUCUUCUGCUCUUUAUCCGUACAUUCUCUUGAUAUCUAAGCAAGUCACCUACCUUGCUUUUUGUUCUCUGAUUCAGGCAGUUAUGUCACAACAUUAACACCAGCCUCACUACUCUCCCCACUCUCCCUCAAUUAAACAUGAUAAUUAUCAUGAAAGCUAACCUUUUGGAGCUGUAUAUACUAUAAAUAUGUUUCAUCUCUGCGAUGAAAAUUCCAAACAGCUAAAAAAAUCUAAAACUCCGCUAUUUACAAGUGAUGGAUCGUUUGUGUCUAUUAGCUUUUGUUUGGAUGUUUACUUGAUUUUAGGUGAUGCAAGUGAUGGAUGAUACCCUUUACCAGGUUCUAGAGUUGCGUCAACACCUGCUAAACCAAAAA
Molecule: RNA transcript, 1237 nt
Organism: Brassica oleracea var. oleracea
Lineage: Eukaryota; Viridiplantae; Streptophyta; Magnoliopsida; Brassicales; Brassicaceae
Exons: 3
Source: RefSeq, a predicted model, not a curated record